GAUGAACGCUGGCGGCGUGCUUAACACAUGCAAGUCGAACGGAAAGGCUCCUGCUUUCAGUGUUUCUCGAGUGGCGAACGGGUGAGUAACACGUGGGUGAUCUGCCCUUCACUUCGGGAUAAGCCUUGGAAACUGGGUCUAAUACCGGAUAUGACGAUGUUUUGGAUGCCAUUGUGGAAAGUUUUUCGGUGUGGGAUUAGCUCGUGGCCUAUCAGCUUGUUGGUGGGGUAAUGGAUUACGAAGGCGUCGACGGGUAGCCGGCCUGAGAGGGUGUACGGCCACAUGGGGACUGAGAUACGGACCAGAAUCGUACGGGAGGCAGCAGGGGGGAGUAUUACGGAAUGGGGGCAAGUGUGAUGCAGAGACGCCGGGUGGGGGAUGACGGGCUUCGGGGGGUAAACACAUUUCGACAGAGACGAAGCGUUUUGUGACGGUACCUGGAGAAGAAGCACCGGCUAACUACGU
RNAcentral lists this ribosomal RNA (465 nucleotides) under uncultured bacterium. RNAcentral describes it as "partial 16S ribosomal RNA". It matches the Rfam family "Bacterial small subunit ribosomal RNA", at positions 28 to 506 of the family's 1533-position model. The record is from RNAcentral.